UUAAUUGAAACCAAAAAGAGGUAAAUUAUUGUUAAUAAUUUCAUUGAAUUAUUUUAUAUUCCAAUUAA
RNAcentral lists this transfer RNA (68 nucleotides) under Vespula vulgaris. Its description in RNAcentral is "tRNA-Asn". The record is from RNAcentral. Lineage: Eukaryota; Metazoa; Arthropoda; Insecta; Hymenoptera; Vespidae.